CCUACGGGGGGCAGCAGUAGGGAAUAUUGGACAAUGGAGGAAACUCUGAUCCAGCCAUGCCGCGUGAUAGAUGAAGGCCCUCUGGGUUGUAAAUAUCUUUUAUCUGGGAAGAAACAAUCUUAUUCUUAAGAUCUUGACGGUACCAGAGGAAUAAGCACCGGCUAACUCCGUGCCAGCAGCCGCGGUAAUACGGAGGGUGCAAGCGUUAUCCGGAUUCACUGGGUUGUAGGGGUGCGGAGAAGUGAGGAGUGAAAGCUCCGAGCUUAACUUGGAAACUGCCAUUGAUACUGCCAGUCUUGAAUGUCGUAGAGGUAAGCGGAAUGUUGCAUGUAGCGGUGAAAUGCUUAGAUAUGUUACAGAACACCAAUUGCGAAGGCAGCUUACUAUGCGAUGAUUGACGCUGAGGCACGAAAGCGUGGGGAGCAAACAGGAUUAGAUACCCCGGUAGUC
This 450-nucleotide ribosomal RNA is filed under the name uncultured bacterium. RNAcentral describes it as "partial 16S ribosomal RNA". It matches the Rfam family "Bacterial small subunit ribosomal RNA", at positions 338 to 795 of the family's 1533-position model. The record is from RNAcentral.